CUGGAUUUGGGCACUUGAUGAAAAAAAUCAUCUCCGAUAACAUGGUAUAUGAUCUUUCUGACCAAUCCAUAUAUCGGCUAUAUGGACCAAUCUUAUAAUAAACUAAAGGAAAGCGAGGAAAGGAGGAGCAAUCAUGUCGAUGAACGCCGGCAUCCACCAGUCGGAUAGUGAAGUUAUUGUAGUUGAUGGCCUGCACAUAGUAUCUUCCUCUGAAUAGAUUUAACACUGUGAAAUUAUUUUCACAAGAAAGC
This 251-nucleotide unclassified non-coding RNA is filed under the name Hevea brasiliensis (rubber tree). The record is from RNAcentral. Lineage: Eukaryota; Viridiplantae; Streptophyta; Magnoliopsida; Malpighiales; Euphorbiaceae.